GACGAACGCUGGCGGCGUGCUUAACACAUGCAAGUCGAACGGAAAGGCCCUGCUUGCAGGGUACUCGAGUGGCGAACGGGUGAGUAACACGUGGGUUAUCUGCCCUGCACUUCGGGAUAAGCCUGGGAAACUGGGUCUAAUACCGGAUAGGAGCCAUUUUUAGUGUGAUGGUUGGAAAGUUUUUUCGGUGUAGGAUGAGCUCGCGGCCUAUCAGCUUGUUGGUGGGGUAAUGGCCCACCAAGGCGGCGACGGGUAGCCGGCCUGAGAGGGUGGACAGCCACCUUGGGUCUGAGAUACGGCCCCGACGCCUACGGGAGGCAGCAGUGGGGAAUCUUGAUCAAUGGGCGCAAGCCUGAUGCAGAGACGCCGCGUGGGGGAUGACGGCCUUCGGGUUGUAAACUCCUUUCGCUAGGGACGAAGCUUUUUGUGACGGUACCUAGAUAAGAAGCACCGGCUAACUACGUG
Molecule: ribosomal RNA, 465 nt
Filed under: uncultured bacterium
Lineage: Bacteria
Description: partial 16S ribosomal RNA
Rfam family: Bacterial small subunit ribosomal RNA
Source: RNAcentral